This is a long non-coding RNA of Lotus japonicus, 652 nucleotides long. RefSeq lists it as uncharacterized. NCBI's taxonomy places the organism in Eukaryota, Viridiplantae, Streptophyta, Magnoliopsida, Fabales, Fabaceae. The transcript is spliced from 3 exons. The record is from RefSeq and is a predicted model, not a curated record.
CAUAUCAAAUAUUAAUCGGGGGGUUUCUUUCAGCUUCUGAGUUCAUGACACAUGCUGAAUAAUAAGGAUUAGAUUAAGAGAAGAAGGUGGAUGAUGGCAACAAAACAAUAGACCAAGGCUGUAACUGAAGAAUAAACAGGAAGGGAAUGAUGCUGCUACUGUUGCAAAGGAGAAACACUCAGCAAAGGAAAAAAAUCAUAAAAGGAAAAAGGGCUUUUCCAUGGGAGAUGUAUGAUGGAGACCAUAGUAAUAGAAGAUUUAAGGAAGAUUUUGGUUUCAUCUAUUACAAGGCAGUGUUACAAGUAAGGUAUAUACUCUCUUUUUACAAUCUUGAUGUUGUGUUCCUGAGGAGUGAGGAAGAAUACCACUGAUAUGUAUCAACCUGAAUAGAAGUAACUGCACAACACUUAAAAACUAAUAUUAUAAGAAGUUUUAGGUGUAGAAGCUCAGAUAAAGUGAUUUGCUGAUUCUAAUGGAUUUGAUUAGAACUCUAGAUUGUGUUUAUGGUAAAAAAGAAAAGACAGGGUAUUUUUGAAUCUUUACAUUCCCACUACUUUCUUUCCACCCCAUGUGACAGUUACAACAUUUUACUUCCAAUUUCCAAACAGUUGCACCGGUUAAAAUGCACCCCUUCAUAUUCUAGCUGCUUAUU